Molecule: ribosomal RNA, 490 nt
Filed under: uncultured bacterium
Lineage: Bacteria
Description: partial 16S ribosomal RNA
Rfam family: Bacterial small subunit ribosomal RNA
Source: RNAcentral
AGUGAACGCUGGCGGUAGGCCUAACACAUGCAAGUCGAACGGCAGCACAGUAAGAGCUUGCUCUUACGGGUGGCGAGUGGCGGACGGGUGAGGAAUACAUCGGAAUCUACUUUUUCGUGGGGGGUAACGUAGGGAAACUUACGCUAAUACCGCAUACGACCUACGGGUGAAAGCAGGGGAUCUUCGGACCUUGCGCGAUUGAAUGAGCCGAUGUCGGAUUAGCUAGUUGGCGGGGUAAAGGCCCACCAAGGCGACGAUCCGUAGCUGGUCUGAGAGGAUGAUCAGCCACCCUGGAACUGAGACACGGUCCAGACUCCUACGGGAGGCAGCAGUGGGGAAUAUUGGACAAUGGGCGCAAGCCUGAUCCAGCCAUACCGCGUGGGUGAAGAAGGCCUUCGGGUUGUAAAGCCCUUUUGUUGGGAAAGAAAAGCAGCAGGUUAAUACCCCGCUGUUCUGACGGUACCCAAAGAAUAAGCACCGGCUAACUUCG